CCCUUAGAUGUUCUGGGCCGCACGCGCGCUACACUGAUGCAUUCAACGAGUUUCUUCCUGGUCCGAGAGGAAUGGGUAACCUUUUGAAAGUGCAUCGUGAUAGGGAUAGACUAUUGCAAUUAUUGGUCUUCAACGAGGAAUUCCUAGUAGACGUAGUUCAUCAGACUGCAUCGAUUACGUCCCUGCCCUUUGUACACACCGCCCGUCGCUCCUACCGAUUGAAUGGUCCGGUGAAGCCUCGGGAUUGUGGUUCUUGCCGCUUUAUUGUGGCGUGACCGCGAGAACUUGUCUAAACCUUAUCAUCUAGAGGAAGGUGAAGUCGUAACA
This 327-nucleotide ribosomal RNA is filed under the name uncultured eukaryote. RNAcentral describes it as "partial 18S ribosomal RNA". It matches the Rfam family "Eukaryotic small subunit ribosomal RNA", at positions 1470 to 1796 of the family's 1831-position model. The record is from RNAcentral.